RNAcentral lists this ribosomal RNA (210 nucleotides) under Triticum aestivum (bread wheat). Its description in RNAcentral is "partial small subunit ribosomal RNA". The record is from RNAcentral. Lineage: Eukaryota; Viridiplantae; Streptophyta; Magnoliopsida; Poales; Poaceae.
CUGCAGGAGCGUCAGCAAGCAGAAGAAGAGGCCAAGAUGAAGGAGGCCGAGCUGAUGCGAGGAAACCCACUGAUCAAUAUGAACAACUCUGGCUCCUUCAAUGUGAAGAGAAGGUGGGAUGAUGAUGUUGUAUUCAAGAACCAGGCUCGUGGAGAGACCAAGACACCAUCAGAAGUGAUUUCCACCGCAAGUUUCUGCAUAGGUACAUGA